GGAAGGUGGGGAUGACGUCAAGUCAUCAUGGCCCUUACGACCAGGGCUACACACGUGCUACAAUGGCGCAUACAAAGAGAAGCGACCUCGCGAGAGCAAGCGGACCUCAUAAAGUGCGUCGUAGUCCGGAUUGGAGUCUGCAACUCGACUCCAUGAAGUCGGAAUCGCUAGUAAUCGUGGAUCAGAAUGCCACGGUGAAUACGUUCCCGGGCCUUGUACACACCGCCCGUCACACCAUGGGAGUGGGUUGCAAAAGAAGUAGGUAGCUUAACCUUCGGGAGGGCGCUUACCACUUUGUGAUUCAUGACUGGGGUGAAGUCGUAACAAGGUAACCGUAGGGGAACCUGCGGUUGGAUCACCUCCUUA
This 366-nucleotide ribosomal RNA is filed under the name Salmonella enterica subsp. enterica serovar Infantis. Its description in RNAcentral is "partial 16S ribosomal RNA". It matches the Rfam family "Bacterial small subunit ribosomal RNA", at positions 1168 to 1533 of the family's 1533-position model. Lineage: Bacteria; Pseudomonadati; Pseudomonadota; Gammaproteobacteria; Enterobacterales; Enterobacteriaceae. The record is from RNAcentral. RNAcentral also lists the same sequence under 2 other names.